This 70-nucleotide transfer RNA is filed under the name Taenioptynx brodiei brodiei. Its description in RNAcentral is "Glaucidium brodiei brodiei tRNA-His". It matches the Rfam family "tRNA". Rfam says of the family: Transfer RNA (tRNA) molecules are approximately 80 nucleotides in length. Their secondary structure includes four short double-helical elements and three loops (D, anti-codon, and T loops). Further hydrogen bonds mediate the characteristic L-shaped molecular structure. tRNAs have two regions of fundamental functional importance: the anti-codon, which is responsible for specific mRNA codon recognition, and the 3' end, to which the tRNAs corresponding amino acid is attached (by aminoacyl-tRNA synthetases). tRNAs cope with the degeneracy of the genetic code in two manners: having more than one tRNA (with a specific anti-codon) for a particular amino acid; and 'wobble' base-pairing, i.e. permitting non-standard base-pairing at the 3rd anti-codon position. Lineage: Eukaryota; Metazoa; Chordata; Aves; Strigiformes; Strigidae. The record is from RNAcentral.
GCAAGUAUAGUUUAAUUUCAAACAUUAGGCUGUGAUCCUAAAAAUAGAAGUUAGAUCCUUCUUACCUGCC